RNAcentral lists this long non-coding RNA (260 nucleotides) under Lathyrus oleraceus (garden pea). RNAcentral's name for it is "Pisum sativum (pea) long non-coding RNA (PSAT_LNC018145)". The record is from RNAcentral. Lineage: Eukaryota; Viridiplantae; Streptophyta; Magnoliopsida; Fabales; Fabaceae.
UUUAAACACCAUAAAUGUAACCGUUGGCCAAAACACUUCCUCACCCUAUUCAGAGUCAUGAUAAUGCAUUCAAAGCUGUGUUGAAAAGCUAAGUUUGGGGUAAAAACCCCAAAAGCUCCCAAAGCCCAAGAAAGUGCAAAAGCAAAAGAAAAAGAAAAAAAUGGAUGAAUCGAGAAAAAAAAAGAAAUAAAAAGAGAAAAAUGAUAACUCGAAGAUUCAAAAGAAAGAAGCACGAAAAUGGGUUGUCGGUGAAAAAAAAA